AGGAUUUUGAAAUCUUGACAUUUUUCACAGGAUGGGAGAGUCUGUUUCUGGACCAGCUCUAUGGACAAAGGAAGAGCGGGAAACAGAAAGAAAGAGACAGAUCUCUUUAAACUGAAAGAAAAUUGUAAUGCUCUCCCUGACUGUAGAGUGUAUGCUGGGAAAUCCUGUGGUGUGAUCUUUAUGUACUGCCCAGCGGAAGGUACCUUCAUGUGGGGAAGAUGCAGAUUAACAGGCUUGGAAUGUAUUGGAGGAGAAGCAGCAUCUGAUGUUGUCUGUAUCCAGAUGGGCAGCAUGACCUUUAGAAUGAGAGAGGUUUCAUAAGAUGGUCCCUGCACUCCUGCUACAUAUGGCCCUUGCCGUCUCUUCAAGUUUUCUGGUCAGGAAUCUCACCUUAAUCACUGUCUUUGGGUUGGGGCUUUUUAGGUAGCUCCUGCCUCAGCAUGGCUGCUCCCCCACCUGCAGAACUCGAGCAGAGCCUUAACGACCAUCUCUCCUCUUCUUUUGAGCCCACGCUGGACCUCAAGGCAGACAAAGCUACAUUACUUCCAGGCUCUGGAGUCAGUGACAUACCCCCAGAUGGGCAUGGAUGUGAGGAGGAGCUCGGCACAGGAGCAGGCGGUUCCAGACACGAUGGGGUUUGCAAACCUGAAGUGCCAGCAGCAGACAGUGCCCCAGCGGUGACAGAAGAACCAAACCCAACCGUGGAGGCACACAAGGACUCGGCUGGCAUGGACAGCAGCUACGACUUUUCGACCUCCAGCUUGGACAGCCGUUGUGAACCUGACCUGGUUCCGGUCACUGGAGACUCUCUCCCUGACAAAGGUCCCCAGUCGGAGGAUGGUGACCCCGGCUCCACAGCUUCCUUGCCCUGGCCAGAGUUGCCAGAUGAAUGUCCGCCUCGGCCUAACACCCUGGAUUUCUCCAACUCUCUCAAAUUCCUGGAGGAGGUGAAGCAGAUGGGGCAGAGGAGGAACAGUGACCACUUGAACAUCCAGGAGAAUGGGGUGGAGAGCUGCCCUGAGGCACCUCCCAUCAGUGAGGAGAGGAGGGCUCUGGAGUCGGAGCUGGGGAAGUGCAUCGAAGACUUCAGGAAGAUCAAGAUCCCCGUCUCCUUCCCCAACAAGAAGCGGCAGUGGCAAAGUGAACUACUGAAAAAAUACCACGUCUGAGGGGAGGGGCUGGGACUGACGCCUCCCACCACCCAGGACUGACUGGCUUCCACAGCCACAAGAGGCACCUUCCCCUGCAUCCUGUCCAUGAUGGGCCAGCCUGCCAGGUGCUGGGUGUCCUUGGCCCCCAUUGAUGGCCAGGAGCAGCUCAGCAUCUUGUAGGCCAAGAGGGACUUGUGAGAGCCUCUUACUUUAAACCAGUUAUUUGGCGACACUGGGACUAACUGAUUUGCAUCCUGUCUGAUCUCGUUGACUUUACCUAGGUCACUCAGGGGUAAUCGACAACAGGGUUUGGUCCAUGUAUUCAAAACUAAGAGCAGUGGUUUCUUGGUCAAUGCAUCAUUCCAGGAAUUGGUGCUCCACAGGCAGAGAUUAUAAGGCUACAGCUUGCUUGUUCCCAGGGGAGUCAAGGGUGAAAUGUGCAUGAAAGGAGCUGUACAAAUCCUAGAAGUGAAAAUAUUUGAAGGAGUCAGGAUGGGAAGGAGGAAACUGAUGUUGGUUCAGGUUGUCUGUAGGGACAAACCUACACCCAAGCAAUAUGGACAUUCCUGCCUUUAUGACAGCAUGACUGUGAUUGGAGCUCCCGGGGUUAAUAAAUGUAAACAAUGAUGAAACCUAAUUCCA
Molecule: long non-coding RNA, 1793 nt
Filed under: Chrysemys picta bellii (western painted turtle)
Lineage: Eukaryota; Metazoa; Chordata; Testudines; Emydidae
Description: lncRNA (ENSCPBG00000012109.1)
Source: RNAcentral